RNAcentral lists this ribosomal RNA (403 nucleotides) under bacterium. RNAcentral's name for it is "partial 16S ribosomal RNA". It matches the Rfam family "Bacterial small subunit ribosomal RNA", at positions 355 to 776 of the family's 1533-position model. The record is from RNAcentral.
UGGGGAAUUUUGCACAAUGGGGGAAACCCUGAUGCAGCGACGCCGCGUGAUUUAGAAGGCCUUCGGGUUGUAAAAAUCUUUUCUAUGGGAAGAAAAUGACAGUACCAUAGGAAUAAGGACCGGCUAACUACGUGCCAGCAGCCGCGGUAAUACGUAGGGCGCGAGCGUUGUCCGGAAUUAUUGGGCGUAAAGGGCUUGUAGGCGGCUUGUUGCGCCUGCUGUGAAAACGCGGGGCUUAACUUCGCGCGUGCAGUGGGUACGGGCAGGCUUGAGUGUGGUAGGGGUGACUGGAAUUCCAGGUGUAGCGGUGGAAUGCGCAGAUAUCUGGAGGAACACCGAUGGCGAAGGCAGGUCACUGGGCCAUUACUGACGCUGAGGAGCGAAAGCAUGGGUAGCGAACAGG